AACGCUAGCUACAGGCUUAACACAUGCAAGUCGAGGGGAAACGAUAUUGGAAGCUUGCUUCCGAUAGGCGUCGACCGGCGCACGGGUGAGUAACGCGUAUCCAACCUGCCCAUCACUUGGGAAUAACCUUGCGAAAGUAAGACUAAUACCCAAUGACAUCCCACGAAGACAUCUGAAUGGGAUUAAAGAUUUAUCGGUGAUGGAUGGGGAUGCGUCUGAUUAGCUUGUUGGCGGGGUAACGGCCCACCAAGGCAACGAUCAGUAGGGGUUCUGAGAGGAAGGUCCCCCACAUUGGAACUGAGACACGGUCCAAACUCCUACGGGAGGCAGCAGUGAGGAAUAUUGGUCAAUGGGCGAGAGCCUGAACCAGCCAAGUAGCGUGCAGGAAGACGGCCCUAUGGGUUGUAAACUGCUUUUAUAAGGGAAUAAAGUGAGCCUCGUGAGGCUUUUUGCAUGUACCUUAUGAAUAAGGACCGGCUAAUUCCGUGCCAGCAGCCGCGGUAAUACGGAAGGUCCGGGCGUUAUCCGGAUUUAUUGGGUUUAAAGGGAGCGUAGGCCGGAGAUUAAGCGUGUUGUGAAAUGUAGAUGCUCAACAUCUGCACUGCAGCGCGAACUGGUUUCCUUGAGUACGCGCAAAGUGGGCGGAAUUCGUGGUGUAGCGGUGAAAUGCUUAGAUAUCACGAAGAACUCCGAUUG
This 696-nucleotide ribosomal RNA is filed under the name uncultured bacterium. Its description in RNAcentral is "bacterial SSU rRNA". It matches the Rfam family "Bacterial small subunit ribosomal RNA", at positions 32 to 715 of the family's 1533-position model. The record is from RNAcentral.